Molecule: long non-coding RNA, 679 nt
Organism: Stylophora pistillata
Lineage: Eukaryota; Metazoa; Cnidaria; Anthozoa; Scleractinia; Pocilloporidae
Source: RefSeq, a predicted model, not a curated record
AAUUACUCUACAUCAAUGCUUUUUCUCUAUAGGAGUAUCCAUCCUGACCCCUGAAAAUUGCAAGGCGUGACGGACGAGAAACGCCAGUUUGUUUCUGCUCCUAUCUUGGCGGAAGUCGACAAUUUUUACGUCUUUUUCUUGAGUUGACAUCCCACAAGAGCUUUGGCGCUGCACAGUUUGUUAUUAGUUUGGACACAGUAUCGUUCAAAAAUCUUAUCAAGCUCUUUAUGUGUCUCCAACAAAGAUUGCACUGAAAAUCAGAACCAACAAAUCUCAAAUUUGAGCACGUGAGGAAUUUAGUGCAAACAGCUAGGUAAUUUCCCAAGGUUUUAAGAAGAUCAUGGCCACUGGUAAGCGAUAUAUUCCUCCCAUGUCUAGAAGAAAAGAAACAACAGGAGCAGCAGCAGAAUCUAGAAGGAAGUUAGAUGACCUUGUUCAAGAUCCAAUUUUUACAGUGAAACUGGGGUCAAAAAAUCAUUACAGUGACCUUCCAUUUCCUGAAGUAACAGAAAAGGAUGAGAGUAACUCAAACAUUCAACAAUUUCAAUUUCCUUUCAAGGAAAGAGAACUACGAAAAUUGAUGCUGGUAAUUAUAAGUUGGCCCACACAUUAAAAAAAAAUUGUCAUGUAAAAACACUGCUGCUCUGUCAGGCCCAUUGCCAGCAUUGAAAAACAAACA